CCUACGGGUGGCUGCAGUGGGGAAUAUUGGGCAAUGGGCGCACGCCUGACCCCUCAACGCCGCGUGAAGGAAGAAGGCUUUCGGGUUGUAAACUUCUUUUAAGAGGGAAGAGCAGAAGACGGUACCUCUUGAAUAAGCCACGGCUAACUACGUGCCAGCAGCCGCGGUAAUACGUAGGUGGCAAGCGUUGUCCGGAUUUACUGGGUGUAAAGGGCGUGUAGCCGGGCUGACAAGUCAGAUGUUAAAUCCCGUGGCUCAACCACGGACCUGCAUUUGAAACUGUCGGGCUUGAGUCUCGGAGAGGCAGGCGGAAUUACUAGGGUAGCGGUGAAAUGGGUAGAUAUUAGGAGGAACACAAGUGGAGAAGGCGGCCUGCUGGACGACAACUGACGGUGAGGCGCGAAAGCGUGGGGAGAAAACAGGAUUAGAUACCCAGUAGU
This 440-nucleotide ribosomal RNA is filed under the name uncultured bacterium. RNAcentral's name for it is "partial 16S ribosomal RNA". It matches the Rfam family "Bacterial small subunit ribosomal RNA", at positions 338 to 793 of the family's 1533-position model. The record is from RNAcentral.